This 516-nucleotide non-coding RNA is filed under the name Pan troglodytes (chimpanzee). Lineage: Eukaryota; Metazoa; Chordata; Mammalia; Primates; Hominidae. The record is from RNAcentral.
CUUUGAAUUCCUGGGCUUGAGCGACCUCCCCACCUUAGCCUCCUGAGUAGCUGAGACUACAGAUGUGCCUUGCUUCUCCUUCAUUUUCUGCUAUGACUGUAAGUUCCCUGAGGCCUUCCCAGCCAUGUGGAACUGCAUUCUAAUAUAUGCAUUCUUCAUGACAACUCUGUGAAACAUAUUAAUAUCCUCAUUGUUAAAGAUGAAGAAACUAAAUCUCAGGAAGAAAAACUAAGUGAAGACAAAAGAAGGAUUUGAACUGAGGUUUGUCAGACUCUCGGGACCAUGCUGUUGAAACCACUAAACCACACUGCCUCUGGGUCACUUGAUUAUUCUGGGAGAUUCUGGGAGUCUUUUCUCCAACACUCCAAUGACAUCUGACUAUGUGAGCUGAUAAGAUCUAUAGAUCUUUGCUGAACCUGAUUCUGGAAGGUACAACAAUUUCGGCCAUCUUCAUAAUCAAUACUGUGAGAUGGGACCAAAUUGAUUGUGUGGUACAUGAAACACAGCCCAGGAAAA